RNAcentral lists this ribosomal RNA (780 nucleotides) under uncultured Neocallimastigales. RNAcentral describes it as "partial large subunit ribosomal RNA". It matches the Rfam family "Eukaryotic large subunit ribosomal RNA", at positions 24 to 634 of the family's 3401-position model. Lineage: Eukaryota; Fungi; Neocallimastigomycota; Neocallimastigomycetes; Neocallimastigales. The record is from RNAcentral.
GUAGUCUCGCACAGAUGCAUAUCAAUAAGCGGAGGAAAAGAAACUAACAAGGAUUCCCUCAGUAACGGCGAGUGAAGCGGGAAGAGCUCAAAUUUGAAAUCUUGAAAGGUCACCUUUCACGAAUUGUAGUUUAAAGAAGUGUUUUCUGUUACGAUCGUAAUAUAAGUUCUUUGGAAUAGGACAUCACAGAGGGUGAGAAUCCCGUCUAUGAUUGCGAUUUGUAGCUUUGUGAUACACUUUCAAAGAGUCGGGUUGUUUGGGAAUGCAGCCCAAAACGGGAGGUAAAUUUCUUCUAAGGCUAAAUAUUGGCGAGAGACCGAUAGCGAACAAGUACCGUGAGGGAAAGAUGAAAAGAACUUUGAAAAGAGAGUUAAACAGUACGUGAAAUUGUCAAAAGGGAAGCGUUUGACACCAGUGUUGUUUUCUCGAAAAUCAAUUAAAAAUGGCUCGAUUUUGUAUUGCUGAGACCUUAAAAGCUCACUGUACAUUUUUCGUGUCUUUUUUAAUGCACUUUUCGUUUAACAAGUCAACAUCAGUUUCUUUUGUUGUAAAAGGGUCAUUGGAAGGUGGCUUUCUUUUCGGAGAAAGUGUUUAUAGCCCUAUGGACUUCUAGCAAUCGGAGAGAUUGAGGUCUGCAGCGUAGACUCUUCGGGGUUAGAUACAUUUGUGCUAAGUUAUAGCUUUUUCAUAGGACAACUUGUUGACUAUAAUUUAGUCAUGUCGCUUACUCGCUUAUGCUAUUUUACCUACGCUUAGGAUGUUGAGUCGUAGAGCACGCAG